This 78-nucleotide transfer RNA is filed under the name Candidatus Sungiibacteriota bacterium. Its description in RNAcentral is "Candidatus Sungbacteria bacterium tRNA-Thr". It matches the Rfam family "tRNA". From Rfam's summary of the family: Transfer RNA (tRNA) molecules are approximately 80 nucleotides in length. Their secondary structure includes four short double-helical elements and three loops (D, anti-codon, and T loops). Lineage: Bacteria; Candidatus Sungiibacteriota. The record is from RNAcentral.
GCACCCGUAGCUCAAUCGGACUAGAGCGUCUGCCCUGUAAGCAGAGGGUUGUCAGUUCAAAUCUGACCGGGUGCUCCA